RNAcentral lists this ribosomal RNA (301 nucleotides) under uncultured bacterium. RNAcentral's name for it is "partial 16S ribosomal RNA". It matches the Rfam family "Bacterial small subunit ribosomal RNA", at positions 509 to 807 of the family's 1533-position model. The record is from RNAcentral.
CAGCAGCCACGGUAAUACGGAGGGAGCUAGCGUUGUUCGGAAUUACUGGGCGUAAAGCGCACGUAGGCGGCUUUGUAAGUUAGAGGUGAAAGCCUGGGGCUCAACUCCAGAAUUGCCUUUGAAACUGCAUCGCUUGAACACGGGAGAGGUGAGUGGAAUUCCGAGUGUAGAGGUGAAAUUCGUAGAUAUUCGGAAGAACACCAGUGGCGAAGGCGGCUCACUGGACCGUUGUUGACGCUGAGGUGCGAAAGCGUGGGGAGCAAACAGGAUUAGAUACCCGUGUAGUCCCUGUCUCUUAUAC